CAGAUCUGAGAGUUGCAGUCUUCCGCACUGUUAGACCUGCUUUUGUUUUUCUAAUUUCUCGCAGGCAUUUUGUGUGGCCGACGAACUGAUUUGUGGGUGUUUGUUUGUUACAGGACAGCAGGAGGCACUACAGAGUCAGAUCGUAGAGCAGGGAACAUGAGGGUCCUGUCCCUGUCUGUGUAAUGCAGUGUAUACAACCAUCAUGAAAAUUACAUACAUGAAAAUACAGCAGAUGAAUCUAAGACAUGGCAAAGAAUUAAAAGUAUUUAAAACCAUAGAUGAAAUGCAGAGAAGCCUCUAGUC
This 303-nucleotide long non-coding RNA is filed under the name Sinocyclocheilus anshuiensis. RNAcentral's name for it is "lncRNA (ENSSANG00000017278.1)". The record is from RNAcentral. Lineage: Eukaryota; Metazoa; Chordata; Actinopteri; Cypriniformes; Cyprinidae.